RNAcentral lists this small RNA (805 nucleotides) under Pyricularia oryzae. RNAcentral's name for it is "Magnaporthe oryzae sRNA M_BR32_EuGene_00131271". The record is from RNAcentral. Lineage: Eukaryota; Fungi; Ascomycota; Sordariomycetes; Magnaporthales; Pyriculariaceae.
AUAUAAUUAAAAUAUUAUACAUUUUAUAUAUUAGAAUAAAAAGUCGAAUAAUAAAUCGAAUAAAAAUUAUAAAAAAUGUAGAAGAAAUAUUAUUAUAUAGCCAAAGUCUUGGGGUUUUUAACAAUUUUUUAUCUUUUCUUUUACCGCCUAUAUUGGCCGGGUUAUUAACCGUUUUACCUAUUUUAUUCGUAUUUUUAGUUUUUGUAAUAUGGACAAAUAUAUAUACAGGAAGAAUUCUAAUUUAAAUAUAAAAAUAAUAUUUAUAUUUAUUUAUAUAUAUGAAAUUAUUUUAUUAUUAUCUUUAUCACAUUUAUUCAAAAUUUUAUAAUAAGAAGUAUAAAAUUUAUUAGAUUUAUUAACUUUAUUUUACUUUUAUAAAUAAUAGGUUUGGUAUUUAAAUUUUUAUAUAUAAUAUGAUGAGAUAUAUUUAACGUAUAGCAUAUAUUUUGGUUUGUGUUUGAAAAAAUUAUUUAUUUGAAUAAAUUUAAAAAUAAUAAUAAUUAAUGUAAAUAUUGGUAUUUUUGUUUAUAAAAUGGCCAAUUUGAAGUUUUUUGCAAAACGGAUUGAACGUGGGCGUUUAAUUUUAUAUUACGUCCAAUUGUCAAAAUCUUAAUUUUGGUAUCGUAGAAAUUAAUUAAAAUGCAAACCCGUUUCGAUUGCAAAUUUUACUAAGUUUUAAUUUAUUUUACCUAUUUGGUUUUUUAAUCCGUUAUAUUAUGUAACAUUAGUACCCAAGUUUGUAUAUAUGAGAUUUAUUCUAAUAUUACCCUUUACGUACAAAAACUUUAAAGUUUUAUCAGAAAAU